AAAUUGAAGAGUUUGAUCAUGGCUCAGAUUGAACGCUGGCGGCAGGCCUAACACAUGCAAGUCGAACGGUAACAGGAAACAGCUUGCUGUUUCGCUGACGAGUGGCGGACGGGUGAGUAAUGUCUGGGAAACUGCCUGAUGGAGGGGGAUAACUACUGGAAACGGUAGCUAAUACCGCAUAAUGUCGCAAGACUAAAGAGGGGGACCUUCGGGCCUCUUGCCAUCGGAUGUGCCCAGAUGGGAUUAGCU
Molecule: ribosomal RNA, 249 nt
Filed under: Escherichia coli
Lineage: Bacteria; Pseudomonadati; Pseudomonadota; Gammaproteobacteria; Enterobacterales; Enterobacteriaceae
Also listed under: 1 other name
Description: partial 16S ribosomal RNA
Rfam family: Bacterial small subunit ribosomal RNA
Source: RNAcentral